UGAGUGGAGACUCCUAAUAAGCUUCCACAUAAAAAACCUAAAUUCUUCAAAAUGGCUUGAUUGCUACAAUUAAAUGGCUUCCUCUGCAUCUUCCAGCCAUGCCUGCAAAGAGGCCACAGUGGAGGUGUACCUCUCCCAGUUGGACAGCACUUCCUCCAGCAUGCUCCUCACGCUGCGCACUUCCAUGGACAGACUCCUCCACUGAGUCACCACCUCCCGCAUGAACCUGCGCACUCCCAUCUCGCCUUCAUCCACUGGAAGAGAGGCAGCCAAUCAGAAACCACGAUGCUAACUACAGUACCAGCAGGACCUGCUGCAUUUCAUUUGUGGGGUCGACCAAUCAAACCUCAGAUGUCCUGAUUUCUCACCACACCUCACUUCUCUGCUCUGCAUACCCUAAAGCAAUGCAACCCUGAAACCUAAUGAAACCAACAAGCUAGCUCAGUUUGCGCCCAGAGACCUGCAGAAGUGGAGCAGCCCCCCAACUAGCAAAUGGGGUCGUAUUCCCCACUGAGAGCAGAGAGUGGAGGAACCUCAUUUAGCUGUAGCCUGCAGACUCUCCUCCUCUAUCAAAUUGUGAAACCAGUCAGGGGCAAACUGAGCUGCUGGCAGGGAAAGCCUCAUUGGUUACUGAGUUGUUGAAAAGGGAAAUAAAGUUGAAAUAUAGUGAACAAUUGAGAGAUACUGA
Molecule: long non-coding RNA, 688 nt
Organism: Oreochromis niloticus (Nile tilapia)
Lineage: Eukaryota; Metazoa; Chordata; Actinopteri; Cichliformes; Cichlidae
Exons: 3
Source: RefSeq, a predicted model, not a curated record